UUCCUACGGGGGGCAGCAGUGGGGAAUAUUGGGCAAUGGGCGCAAGCCUGACCCAGCAACGCCGCGUGAAGGAAGAAGGCUUUCGGGUUGUAAACUUCUUUUCUCAGGGACGAAGCAAGUGACGGUACCUGAGGAAUAAGCCACGGCUAACUACGUGCCAGCAGCCGCGGUAAUACGUAGGUGGCAAGCGUUAUCCGGAUUUACUGGGGGUAAAGGGCGUGUAGGCGGGACUGCAAGGAAGAUGUGAAAACCACGGGGUCAACCUGGGGACUGCAUUUGAAAAUG
This 285-nucleotide ribosomal RNA is filed under the name uncultured bacterium. Its description in RNAcentral is "partial 16S ribosomal RNA". It matches the Rfam family "Bacterial small subunit ribosomal RNA", at positions 336 to 635 of the family's 1533-position model. The record is from RNAcentral.